Molecule: ribosomal RNA, 120 nt
Filed under: uncultured bacterium
Lineage: Bacteria
Description: partial 16S ribosomal RNA
Rfam family: Bacterial small subunit ribosomal RNA
Source: RNAcentral
CACGCCCUAAACGAUGGAUACUCGACAUCAGCGAUACACUGUUGGUGUCUGAGCGAAAGCAUUAAGUAUCCCACCUGGGAAGUACGAUCGCAAGAUUGAAACUCAAAGGAAUUGACGGGG